ACCGUUAAAUCGUGAUUUUUUGUUUUAUAACCGUCGAAAAGUUUUGUCUCAUUACUUGAUCUCUGAAUGUUUUUUUUUGUGAUUUUUGGCGUAUGCGAUCUCGAAGAAUAUACAAACAAGUUUGACGGUUGGAUCGUUAAAAUUAGUUUCAUAGAAUUUUCAUAGAAUUCGUAUCCCAUCAAAACAAUAGAUUCACUAACACUUAGAGUUUAUUUAUACUUUCAUUAAGUAUAACAUAAGAUUUUGUGGUAUCCACUUGUGUAAAUAUUUUAAAUUGACGAUCAAAUUCAUUCAUUGUAUUCGUAUAGGGUCAAGGAGUGUAGUUGUAAAAAAUCAUCAAAAUCGGAGUUAAAAAUAACCGUUAAAUCGUGAUUUUUUGUUUUUAUAACCGUCGAAAAGAUUUGUCUCAUUACUUGAUCUCUGAAUGUUUUUUUUUGUGAUUUUUGGCGUAUGCGAUCUCGAAGAAUAUACAAACAAGUUUGACGGUUGGAUCGUUAAAAUUAGUUUCAUAGAAUUUGUAUCUCAUCAAAACAAUAGAUUCACUAACACACAGAGUUUAUUUAUACUUUCAUUAAGUAUAACAUAAGAUUUUGUGGCAUCCACUUGUGUAAAUAUUUUAAAUUGACGAUCAAAUUCAUUCAUCGUAUUCGUAUAGGGUCAAGGAGUGUAGUUGAAAAAAAUCAUCAAAAUCGGAGUUAAAAUAACCGUUAAAUCGUAAUUUUUUGUUUUAUAACCGUCGAAAAGUUUUGUCUCAUUACUUAAUCUAUGAAUGUUUGUUUUUUGUGAUUUUUGGCGUAUGCGAUCUCGAAGCAUAUACAAAAACGUUUGAAGGAUGUAUCGUUAAAAUUAGUUUCAUAGAAUUCGUAUCCCAUCAAAACAAUAGAUUCACUAACACUUAGAGUUUAUUUAUACUUUCAUUAAGUAUAACAUAAGAUUUUGUGGUAUCCACUUGUGUAAAUAUUUUAAAUUGACGAUCAAAUUCAUUCAUUGUAUUUGUAUAGGGUCGAGGAGUUUAGUUGUAAAAAAUCAUCAAAAUCGGAGUUAAAAUAACCGUUAAAUCGUGAUUUUUUGUUUUAUAACCGUCAAAAAGUUUAUUCUCAUUACUUGACCUCUAAAUGUUUUUUUUUGUGAUUUUUGGCGUAUGCGAUCACGAAGAAUAUACAAACAAGUUUGACGGUUGGAUCGUUAAAAUUAGUUUCAUAGAAUUCGUAUCUCAUCAAAACAAAUGAUUCACUAACACACAGAGUUUAUUUAUACUUUCAUUAAAUAUAACAUAAGAUUUUGUGGCAUCCACUUGUGUAAAUAUUUUAAAUUGACGAUCAUAUUCAUUCUUCGUAUUCAUAUAGGGUCAAGGAGUGCAGUUGAAAAAAAUCAUCAAAAUCGGAGUUAAAAUAGCCGUUCAAUCAUAAUUUUUUGUUUUAUAACCGUCGAAAAGUUUUGUCUCAUUACUUGAUCUCUGAAUGUUUGUUUUUUGUGAUUUUUGGCGUAUGCGAUCUCGAAGCAUAUACAAACAAGUUUGACGGUUGGAUCGUUAAAAUUAGUUUCAUAGAAUUCGUAUCCCAUCAAAACAAUAGAUUCACUAACAUUUAGAGUUUAUUUAUACUUUCAUUAAGUAUAACAUAAGAUUUUGUGGUAUCCACUUGUGUAAAUAUUUUAAAUUGACGGUAAAAUUCAUUCAUUGUAUUCGUAUAGGGUCAAGGAGUUUAGUUGCAAAAAAUCAUCAAAUUCGUAGUGAAAAUAACGGUUAAAUCGUGAUUUUUUGUUUUAUAACCGUCGAAAUGUUUUAUCUCAUUACUUGAUCUCUGAAUGUUUGUUUUUUGUGAUUUUUGGCGUAUGCGAUAUCGAAGUAUAUACAAACAAGUUUGACUGUUGGAUCGUUAAAAUUAGUUUCAUAGAAUUCGUAUCCCAUCAAAACAAUAGAUUCACUAACACUUACAGUUUAUUUAUAGUUAAUAUUUUGGGAGUAUAAUUAUUAUAGUAUAUAUAAUUAUUAUAAUUAUU
This 2001-nucleotide long non-coding RNA is filed under the name Malus domestica (apple). Its description in RNAcentral is "long non-coding RNA (MDOM_LNC002190)". Lineage: Eukaryota; Viridiplantae; Streptophyta; Magnoliopsida; Rosales; Rosaceae. The record is from RNAcentral.